This 429-nucleotide ribosomal RNA is filed under the name Bacteroidota bacterium. RNAcentral describes it as "Bacteroidetes bacterium partial 16S ribosomal RNA". It matches the Rfam family "Bacterial small subunit ribosomal RNA", at positions 355 to 776 of the family's 1533-position model. Lineage: Bacteria; Pseudomonadati; Bacteroidota. The record is from RNAcentral.
UAGGGAAUCUUCGGAAAUGGGGGGAACCCUGACCGAGCAACGCCGCGUGAGUGAAGAAGGUUUUCGGAUCGUAAAGCCCUGUCGUGAAGGAAGAACGAGUGAGAGAACGGAAAGUUCAUGCUGUGACGGGACUUAACCAGAAAGGGACGGCUAACUACGGGCCAGCAGACGCGGUAAUACGAAGGUCCCGAGCGUCGUCCGGAUUUAUUGGGCGUAAAGCGAGCGCAGGCGGGUAGAAAAGUCUGAAGUGAAAGGCAGUGGCUCAACCAUUGUAGGCUUUGAACACUGUUUAACUUGAGUGCAGCAGCGGAGGGUGGAUUUCCCUGUGUGGCUGUGAAAUGCGUCAAUAUAUGGAUGAACACCGGUGUCGUCUGCGGCUCUCUCGUCUAUACCUGACGCUGAGUCUCGAAAGCGUGGGUAGCGACCCGG